GUUGGACUUGAAGCUGCCCGGGCUUU
Molecule: non-coding RNA, 26 nt
Filed under: Cricetulus griseus (Chinese hamster)
Lineage: Eukaryota; Metazoa; Chordata; Mammalia; Rodentia; Cricetidae
Source: RNAcentral